GGAGAGGAUGCUUCGGGUACGGUGCCCAUCUAAGUGCCCUGGAACGGGCGGUCAUAGAGGGUGAGAAUCCCGUAUGGGAUGGGCGGCCGUGCCCGUGUGAAGCUCCUUCGACGAGUCGAGUUGUUUGGGAAUGCAGCUCUAAGCGGGUGGUAAAUUUCAUCUAAAGCUAAAUACUGGCCGGAGACCGAUAGCGCACAAGUAGAGUGAUCGAAAGAUGAAAAGCACUUUGAAAAGAGAGUUAAACAGCACGUGAAAUUGUUGAAAGGGAAGCGUUGGCCACCAGACGCGCCCGGGAGGGUUCAGCCGGCACUUGUGCCGGUGUACUCCCCCCCGGGUGGGCCAGCAUCGGUUUGGGCGGUCGCUGAAAGGCCCCGGGAAUGUAGCACCCUCCGGGGUGCCUUAUAGCCCGGGGUGUCAUGCGGC
This 423-nucleotide ribosomal RNA is filed under the name Penicillium sp. W36. RNAcentral describes it as "eukaryotic LSU rRNA". It matches the Rfam family "Eukaryotic large subunit ribosomal RNA", at positions 151 to 579 of the family's 3401-position model. Lineage: Eukaryota; Fungi; Ascomycota; Eurotiomycetes; Eurotiales; Aspergillaceae. The record is from RNAcentral.